This 253-nucleotide ribosomal RNA is filed under the name uncultured bacterium. Its description in RNAcentral is "partial 16S ribosomal RNA". It matches the Rfam family "Bacterial small subunit ribosomal RNA", at positions 524 to 776 of the family's 1533-position model. The record is from RNAcentral.
UACAGAGGUCUCAAGCGUUGUUCGGAUUCAUUGGGCGUAAAGGGUGCGUAGGCGGGCCUGUAAGUGUCCUGUGAAAUCCCCCGGCUCAACCGGGGAACUGCGGGGCAUACUGCGGGUCUUGAGGAAGGUAGGCGCCGAGGGAACAGUAGGUGGAGCGGUGAAAUGCGUAGAUAUCUACUGGAACGCCGAUGGUGAAGACGCUCGGCUGGGCCUUUCCUGACGCUGAGGCACGAAAGCGUGGGGAGCAAACAGG